Molecule: small nuclear RNA, 112 nt
Organism: Nycticebus coucang (slow loris)
Lineage: Eukaryota; Metazoa; Chordata; Mammalia; Primates; Lorisidae
Source: RefSeq, a predicted model, not a curated record
GUGCUCACUUCGGCAGCACAUAUACUAAGGUUGAGACGAACGAUACAGAGAAGAUUUAGCGUGGCUCCUGUGCAAAGAUGACAUGCAAAUUUGUGAAGUAUUCCAUAUUUAA